CGUAGUGACUGCGGAGGAUCAUUACCAAGCUGAGGGGGUGACGAUCUCGGAGGCUGGUGUACACACAAGCCGCUGAGCGGGAGCCGUUGCAAGAUGAGACUCCUCGCCGCGGUGCCUCCCAAGACAAGCCCCCGAACCUUCCACCCUUGUCCACUUGUACCCUUUGUUGCCUCGGCGGGUACGCCCGCCGGAGGACCACACCAAAAACUCUUGUUGUAAACGGCGUCUUGUCUGAGCUAUAGCGAAAGCAAUGGUUUAAAACUUUCAACAACGGAUCUCUUGGUUCUGGCAUCGAUGAAGAACGCAGCGAAAUGCGAUAAGUAGUGUGAAUUGCAGAAUUCAGUGAAUCAUCGAAUCUUUGAACGCACAUUGCGCCCCUUGGUAUCCCGAGGGGCAUGCCUGUUCGAGCGUCAUUAUCACCGAUCAAGCCUGGCUUGGUGUUGGGUGCCGUCCCGCCCUCUGCGGCGUGGACGCUCCCUAAAACUAUCGGCGGUGCAGCACCGGCUUCGAGCGUAGCAGACCUUCGCUUUCUGGGCCCGGUGCGGCAGCGGCCGCGACGCAGCAACCUAAAGGUUGACCUCGGAUCAGGUAGGGAUACCCGCUGAACUUAAGCAUAUCAAA
Molecule: ribosomal RNA, 621 nt
Filed under: Rhytidhysteron rufulum
Lineage: Eukaryota; Fungi; Ascomycota; Dothideomycetes; Hysteriales; Hysteriaceae
Description: eukaryotic LSU rRNA
Rfam family: 5.8S ribosomal RNA (bases 260-413)
Source: RNAcentral